This 399-nucleotide ribosomal RNA is filed under the name uncultured bacterium. RNAcentral's name for it is "bacterial SSU rRNA". It matches the Rfam family "Bacterial small subunit ribosomal RNA", at positions 29 to 414 of the family's 1533-position model. The record is from RNAcentral.
AACGAACGCUGGCGGCGUGGAUAAGACAUGCAAGUCGAACGGGACAACAUCUGUAGCAAUACAGGUGUUGUUUAGUGGCGAACGGGUGCGUAACACGUGGGCAAUCUGCCGAGAAGUGGGGGAUAGCUCGCCGAAAGGCGAAUUAAUACCGCAUAUGAUCAGUGAAGACAUCUUCACGACAUCAAAGCCGGGGCAACCUGGCGCUUCUUGAUGAGCCCGCGGCCUAUCAGCUAGUUGGUGAGGUAACGGCUCACCAAGGCUAUGACGGGUAGCUGGUCUGAGAGGACGACCAGUCACACUGGAACUGAGACACGGUCCAGACACCUACGGGUGGCAGCAGUCGAGUAAUUUUCUCAAUGGGGCAACCCUGAAGGAGCGACGCCGCGUGGAGGAUGAAGG